AGUUUCCAAUGGCUUAUGAUCCGAAGCAUGCUGCAUUAUCCGUUAAAUACGGUGGAGGUAACGUGAUGGCAUUUGUGUGCAUGGCUUCCAGUGGCACUAUGUCCCUAGUGUUUAUGAUGUGAUAGAAGCAGCCAGAUGCAUUCCGAAGUGUAUAGGAAUAUAUUGUCUGUUCAGAUUUAGGCAAAUUUAGUGAAGUUGAUUGGAUGGCGCUUUACUUUACAGAUGGUCAAUGACCCAAACAUACUACGAAAGCAACCCUUUUUUAAGGCAAAGAAGUGGACUGUUCUGCAAAGGCAGAGUUAGUCACUUGAUCUCAACAUGAUCGAGCAUGCAUUUUACUUGCUGAAGAAAAGACUUAGGGCAGAAAGACCC
This is a non-coding RNA of Pelobates cultripes (western spadefoot toad), 372 nucleotides long. The record is from the annotation of a GenBank genome assembly. NCBI's taxonomy places the organism in Eukaryota, Metazoa, Chordata, Amphibia, Anura, Pelobatidae.